CCUACGGGAGGCUGCAGUGAGGAAUAUUGGUCAAUGGCCGCAGGGCUGAACCAGCCAAGUCGCGUGAGGGAUGACGGUCCUAUGGAUUGUAAACCUCUUUUGUCAGGGAGCAAAGUGCGCCACGUGUGGCGUUUUGCGCGUACCUUAAGAAAAAGCAUCGGCUAACUCCGUGCCAGCAGCCGCGGUAAGACGGAGGAUGCGAGCGUUAUCCGGAUUUAUUGGGUUUAACGGUUGCGCAGGCGGAAUGUCAAGUCAGCGGUAACAUUUCGGGGCUCAACCCCGACGUGCCGUUGAAACUGGAGUGCUUGAGGGAGCGAGAAGGAUGCGGAAUGCGUGGUGUAGCGGUGAAAUGCAUAGAUAUCACGCAGAACUCCGAGUGCGAAGGCAGCAUACCGGCGCUAAACUGACGCUCAUGCACGAAAGCGUGGGUAUCGAACAGGAUUAGAUACCCCAGUAUC
RNAcentral lists this ribosomal RNA (458 nucleotides) under uncultured bacterium. Its description in RNAcentral is "partial 16S ribosomal RNA". It matches the Rfam family "Bacterial small subunit ribosomal RNA", at positions 338 to 795 of the family's 1533-position model. The record is from RNAcentral.